RNA transcript from Jatropha curcas, 1457 nucleotides. It is a transcript of the gene named DUF1639 family protein, putative (DUF1639), with no coding region annotated. NCBI's taxonomy places the organism in Eukaryota, Viridiplantae, Streptophyta, Magnoliopsida, Malpighiales, Euphorbiaceae. The record is from RefSeq and is a predicted model, not a curated record.
CAUAAAGGAAAUAUAUAAAUAUAAAUAUAAAUUUCCCGGCGAUUAUGAUCAUCGCAUUACAACCCAAAAGCCAAAAUUCCUUCUCUGUUUCUCAAUCUGAGCAAAAUCUUCCAUACAUUCUCAAAAUCUAACCUCCAUUGAAACAAACCCAACCAUAAAAAUCAAAAUUUUACAUGAUUAUCAAAUAGAGAAGCUACACAAAUAGAGGACUCUACACACAGACAACAAUGGCGAUGCCACCUCCUACGCCUCAACAACAACCACAGCAACAAGAGAGAUCAAAGCCACUACACAACUUCUCUUUGCCUUUCUUGAAAUGGGGACAACAAAGAGUCCUUAGGUGUGUCAAAGUCAGUGAUGAUCAUCGAUCUUCUUCUUCUUCGAUUCCAAAUGGAUUUGGAUUUCAAUCCAAACCCACCAAUUUUGACUCUUCGAACAAUCACAACCCUAAUUUAAUUCAACAAAAUCACAUUUCAUCUGAUCUUAGACUCAAUGGAGGUGCUGCUGCUAAAAGAUUGAAGGUUUCUCCUCUUCUUGAAGAAGAGAGACCACCUCCUAAUAUUAAUGAUGAUGCUGCUGCUGCUGCUGCUCGGCCUUGGAAUUUGAGAACCAGAAGGGCUGCGUGUAAGGCGCCACUGCGAAUAGAAGACAAGAGGAAUUUGGAGUCUCCGAAGAGAAUUUUGGAGAUUGAUUCGCCAAAUAGAAUUGAGACUUCUUUGGUUAAGAGGCAGAGUGUUGAGCCUGUUAAAGAGAGAAUCAAGUUUUCUGUUCCUUUAUCAAAGACAGAGAUUGAGCAGGAUUUCAUGGAGAUUGCAAGGAUUAGGCCUCCUAGGAGGCCUAAGAAGAGGCCUCGAAUUGUGCAGAAGUAUUUGGACUCAAUUUUCCCAGGAUUGUGGCUAGCAGAAGUUACGCCAGAUUCAUAUAAGGUUCCUGAAGUACCUGAGUCAUGAGAGAGGCAGAAAUGAAAGUGUAAUUGUUUUCAGGGGAAUUCCUUAUAUUCUGCUUGCUAACAAUGGUGCAUUUGACCUCAAUUAAUGAGUUAGAAAACUUACUACAAAUGAUAAAAGAGUAGUUUCCAAAUUGGGAUGCAAUAAUAGAGGAAGCUGAUACAGGAAUAUGCUUCAUCAGCAGCAGGUGAAAUUUGUGCUGAAGUUUACUCUCAAUUUUGAUAGAUAUGUGGGACGCCGGAGGUAGUAGUUGUAAGCUAAUUGAGCUCCAUAUCUGGUUGCCAAUUUUAUCAGUGCCUCUUUCAAGGUUGAAAAUAGUCUAACAAAAUAAAAUCCUUUUCUGAGUGCUGGUGGGAUCUUCCGCUCAAAUGGCUGGUGUUAUAUUCUCUGCUUUACCACUUAGCUUUAUGUAACAUGCUGCAAAAUGCAGAAACCUAUUUUGCUUUGGAAGGACCAUUGAUAACAAUAUCUCAACCUAAAUAAAUUCAUUCCUGAAACAUACUUGGAUUA